This 2425-nucleotide ribosomal RNA is filed under the name Triticum aestivum (bread wheat). RNAcentral's name for it is "partial small subunit ribosomal RNA". Lineage: Eukaryota; Viridiplantae; Streptophyta; Magnoliopsida; Poales; Poaceae. The record is from RNAcentral.
CGCGUUACAACAUUUCUGUCGUUUCCGAAACUACCCUCCCACUCUCUCGCUCGCUCAGCUCAGCCACUCGCUCCCGCAGCCACUCGCUCGCUAGCUCCCGAACCCCUAGCUCACCGCCGCCGGCGCCUCUCCGUCGCAUGCGUCGCCGGCGCCUCUACCCCGCACGCAGCACCUCCGCCUCUUCCUCUCGCGUCGUCGCCGCCUUUCCAUGUUGCCAUACGCCGUCGCCUCUCCCUUUUCAAGAUUUAAUAUUUACUCCGGCGGCUGGAUCUAAAGCGCAGCUGCUCCACCUUCCUCAGGGUGGCGGGGAUCUCCGGCGGCUGGAUCUGAAGCGCGGCUGCUCCACCUUCCUCAGGGUGGCGGGGAUCUCCGGCUUGCUGCGCAGGGGGAGGGAACGACCGCCGGCAGCCGCUGCGGGCAGAAGGGGAACUGCGUAGGAGACAUCGUCGGUGUCGGCGUCCCAGGGACAGGGCACGGCGGCACGCACUGCGGGCCCAUGCACAGGCACAUCGUGCCUUUGCCGCCGUCCGCCAGCACGCCACUAGCCGACAGGAGCAGCCACAGCCACGCGGCCACGACAAGCAGGACCGCCGAUGACGGGUUCGUGCAGUCCCGCGAGGACCGGGCCAUGUGGGAUGCCGAGACGACGUUGCCGAAGAAGGAGUCUCCGACUACCUCACGACCGCCGCUGGCCUGCACAUCAGGUCGCCGAGCCCGUUCACCGGUGUGAGCAGUCUGGGCUGCCGGGUGCUCACCGUCCGGCAGCACACCACCGCGCGACACGCGGUGGUGGAGGCCGAGCUCACCCAGGUCGAGACCAUACGGUGGCAGUAGGAGGAGACUGAACACCAUGGUGGUGUGGGCGCCGAUUGAAAAUCACCAGCUAGUCCUACUUCAACUGCGAUGCAAUAUAAUUUGAUCGAAAAGGGACGGCAUGCUGAGGUGUACAAAGGACAGCUUGCUGAUGGACAGUUUGUGGCAAUUCAAGCUUACUAUAUCCUGAAAUUCAAGCUUAUUGUAUCCUGAUUUAACUGGAGUACAAUGUUGUAGCUUCACUUGUCUUCCAGUCAAAUACUCAUGUACUCCAACUUUAACUGGAGUAGACCCCAACUUAAUCAUAAUCAGUUGUUGCCUGUGGUGCUAUAUUAGUUAUACCAAGUUGAUGGUUUCGUUAAGUUGCAUGUACCCUGAAUUCAAGUAAAUUAAGUUGCAUGUACCAAGUUGAGUAUUUAACUUUUUUUGAAAAGGAGGAUAACCCAUGGCCUCUGCAUCAGAAUGUUGCGCGGGAGGCCGAUGCGGGCAGGCGCCGCUGGUGGCUCUAUUGGGGUCGCCUUGGCGACGCCUACGCCAAGACCUUCUACCUCGUGUGAAAGAAAGAGAACUCGAGCCAAAGUGAUGGUGAUGGAAAUGAAUGAAAGAAAGAGAAGCCGGAGUGCCUACCACAAAGAUGAGCAGAAGAAGGGGAGUUCGCUGGGAUGGAGGCGCUGGUGGCCUGGCCGUGGCCGUUGAGGAGGUGGGGGUAGAGGAGUUGAGUGCUGGCCAGGGCCAGGCGGGGCAGGAAGUGAGCGCUGGUCUGGAGGAGCCCGACGGAGAAGCAAGGACGACGAGGGGCCUGGCGGAGGGCCAAAGAGGAGCACUGGCCUGGAGGAGCCCGGCGGAGAAGCAGGGACGACGAGGGGCCUGGCGGAGGGCCAAAGAGGAGCACUGGCCCGGAGGAGCCCGGUGGAGAAGCAGGGACGACGAGGGGCCUGGCGGAGGGCCAAAGAGGAGCACUGGCCUGGAGGAGCCCGGCGGAGGGGCAAAGAGGGGCGCUGUCCUGGAGGAGCCCGGCGGAGGAUCCUAGAACAGCGCUAGCCUCGUGGAUGGAGGAGGAAGACGAUCUGUUUUCAAACUAGGGGUAUUUAUGUACUUUUGUACGUUUUCACCUGGUCGGAGAGAACUCCCAACGACAAUUAUUUCAGAAUGGAGGGACUAGUUUAUAAACCAUAAUGAAGUUGGAAUAUAGUAGGUUUAACACCAAUAUAAAUAAAGAAUUGGCAAGAGCUUUCUAUUACAGUACCUUAAAAUAGUCUUUUGUUUUCUUUCACUAACGGAGCUCACGAGAUUUCUAUUGAGUUUUGUGUUGUGAAGUUUUCAAGUUUUGGGUGAAUUCUUUUGAUGGAUUAUGGAACAAAGAGUGGCAAGAGCCUAAGCUUGGGGAUGCCCAUGGAACCCCCAAGAUAAUUCAAGGACACCAAAAAGUCAAAGCUCGGGGAUGCCCCGGAAGGCAUCCUCUCUUUCGUCUACUUCCAUCUGUAAUUUACUUGGAGCUAUAUUUUUAUUCACCACAUGUUAUGUGUUUUGCUUGGAGCGUUUUGUAUUAUUUGCGUCUUUGCUUGUUAGUUUACCACAAUCAUCCUUGUUGUACACACCUUUUGAGAGAGCC